Molecule: non-coding RNA, 1251 nt
Organism: Heterocephalus glaber (naked mole-rat)
Lineage: Eukaryota; Metazoa; Chordata; Mammalia; Rodentia; Bathyergidae
Source: the annotation of a RefSeq genome assembly
UCUCAAGACAGGUAGGGGACACAGAGAGAAGAGGAACACCUCACUCUGGGGAAAGCAGGCUAAGAAUUAAGAAAUUCUAUAUCUGAGCAGCAGGUUCUUAAACUACACCUGGACCACAGACACUCCGGGCCUCCAGCAACCAGUUUGCAGUGGCCACCAGGAGGCAACAGAGAGUCAUAGGCUCUGCGGCUUCCUAUGUGCUGACACAGCCAUCCUCUGUGUCAGCGACUCUGGGACAGACAGCCAGGAUGACCUGCGAGGGAAACAGCAUUGGAAACAAACUUGUAAACUGGUACCAACAGAGGCCACCUCAGGCCCCCAUGCUGGUCAUCUAUGAUGAUGACACCCAGCCCUCUGGGAUUCCUGACCGAUUCUCUGGUGCCAACUCAGGCAACACGGCCACACUGACCAUCACUGGCGCCCAGGCUGAGGACGAGGCUGACUAUUACUGUCAGAUUGAAGAGUCACAGAAUUCCAACAAUAUCGUGCUGUCGUACAUACAAGUGCUUUAAGUGAUGGUGACACUGUUCUGCUGCAAAGACCUGCCCCAACUAGUACAGUUAAACAUCCCAGCUAUAUUAAACUAUUUCUUUUCCUCUGGAACAUUCUCCCUGGAAGACCUGGGCAGAAGCCUAUGCCUCAUUAUUCACUGGCUCCACAAGAAGUUCCACUUUCUCUAAAGGAGGAAAAUCAGACUUUCCCUCAGUACAUGGCUUUUCUCAUGGAAAUGUGUACUCAGACUCUGAGAGAUUCAAUGAGAAGAGGGCUGGGUAACCUACAAGAUGGCUAAUCUUACCCACAGGCAGUGUUUUAAUGAACAGAGCAAUAAUCUAGACAAAGGGAACAUGAUAUGAAGCUACACAGGAACAGCAAGGAACUUAGCAGAGGAACUUGUUCACCUGGGUUAGAUGAGUGAGAUACUGCUGGAGCAUUUUCCAGCAACCUGUGUGUGCUGGGCACUGUGAAAGUAAGAACCGAGUAAGGAUCUCCUCCUUAGCAAAUAUUUACCAUCAUAUGAACCAGUGAAUUCAUUUCUCAACCCCUGGAUUUCAACUGACAAGAUUCCUGAAUUUAGAGGCAAAUGAAAGGAUAACUCCUCAUUAUGCAUGCUUUUUUCUUGCUGCUACUUCUCAUGCUCAGCUCCUCCCUGGAUGGAGAGGGUGAUCCUACUGUAGAUGGUUAGAUGAGCCAACUCCUGCCACCAAUCUGUGCUUCAACCAUCACAGAGCAGAUGCAACAGAUGGGGGUGAU